This 222-nucleotide ribosomal RNA is filed under the name uncultured bacterium. RNAcentral's name for it is "partial 16S ribosomal RNA". It matches the Rfam family "Bacterial small subunit ribosomal RNA", at positions 109 to 334 of the family's 1533-position model. The record is from RNAcentral.
AGUAAUGUCUGGGAAACUGCCUGAUGGAGGAGGAUAACUGCUGGAAACGGUAGCUAAUACCGCAUAACGUCGCAAGACCAAAGAGGGGGACCUUCGGACCUCUUGCCAUCGGAUGUGCCCAGAUGGGAUUAGCUAGUAGGUGGGGUAACGGCUCACCUAGGCGACGAUCCCUAGCUGGUCUGAGAGGAUGACCAGCCACACUGGAACUGAGACACGGUCCAG